Molecule: long non-coding RNA, 667 nt
Filed under: Callithrix jacchus (white-tufted-ear marmoset)
Lineage: Eukaryota; Metazoa; Chordata; Mammalia; Primates; Cebidae
Description: lncRNA (ENSCJAG00000078467.1)
Source: RNAcentral
AUGGCCUAUCGGAAUUCCAAGACUGGCGGCCCAGUAGGGACCUCCCAGCUGGCGUCCGUGGGGCUUCACAUUCCCAGGCCACGUUGCCUGACUCCUGCCAGUCAGGGCGCUGCAUUAAAACGUGUUCCAGGGCCUCAUCCCAACUGGGACGCCUCUUCCUCGCUGACACCAUGCUCACGGGUGCGCGCGUUUGUGUCCCGGUUUCGCAUCAGCAGCCCCAGGGCGGGCCUGGCGGGGUGUCCCCUCACCCUGAGCCCGAGCCCGGGUAGGCUGCGCCCUCGCCCCUCCUCCCCGUACUUCCUCCCACCGUGUCCCCGACAGCGUCUGCUUGGCCGUCCCGGUCCCGAAUCAUUCUGGAUCGCAGAAAUCCCCCUGUGGGCGUCUAGAGGGCCAGCGUGGCCCUGUCGGGUGCGCGGAAAAACCGCUGAGGGUGGAAGCCGCUCCUCGGCGCAGGCGCCUCCGCCUCUGCCGCCCCCUAGUGCCCGCGCCGAGACCGCGCGCGAACCCCACCGGCUGGAGCCAAACCCACAGAGGUCGCCCCCAGAACACCAAGAGGACUUUCCCAAAGGUCACGUUUGGUCAGAUGCUCUGAGCUCCGAGGGCUUUUCUUCAUGGAAACAAUGCUGUACAGUCACUUGAAUAACAUUUAUAUACAGCGGCUAAGUCC